RNAcentral lists this ribosomal RNA (253 nucleotides) under uncultured bacterium. RNAcentral's name for it is "partial 16S ribosomal RNA". It matches the Rfam family "Bacterial small subunit ribosomal RNA", at positions 524 to 776 of the family's 1533-position model. The record is from RNAcentral.
UACAGAGGUCUCAAGCGUUGUUCGGAAUCACUGGGCGUAAAGGGUGCGUAGGCGGCGCGGAAAGUCAGGGGUGAAAUCCCGGAGCUCAACUCCGGAACUGCCUUUGAUACUCCCGUGCUUGAGUGCUGGAGAGGAGUCCGGAAUUCACGGUGGAGCAGUGAAAUGCGUGGAUAUCGUGAGGAACACUAGUGGCGAAGGCGGCCUUCUGGACCAAUACUGACGCUCAUGCACGAAAGCGUGGGGAGCAAACAGG